GUUAAUAAAGAAGUGUUGCACGUGCUAGGAUUUAAUAAGAUUCAUGAUGUGAAUGAUCUUUAGAGAGCUGGAUGAAGGAAUUAUGAUUCAACCAGAAGAUACUAAAACUGCUGAAAGGAUUCUCAAGGUAGAUAUGGAAGUUUAUAUUUUGAGCGGUGUAAGGAACUUUCGGUCACUAAACUUUAGUAUGAUGGGUACAAAAUUACAAAGUGCAAAAUAAAAGAAGACAAAGUUGGUACUCUACCAAGAUGGAUAUAUAUUGGGCAAAAAUGAAGUCAAAAGCUUCAGCGAGGUUGUCAUAUUCUGCUUUUAACCGGGGGAAGAAUGUGAAUAUUGUCGAUAGGGAGAUGGAAAAUUAUCUGCGAGCAACUGUGAAAUCUGUGAGCAGAUUAAGCAGAGUUGCAAGCAGAAGGCCUUUGCUUAGUCAAUGAAGAUGAGCCUGGAAAGAAGGCUGGUGGUUUUGGUCUUAAGUUGCUUCGCAUUUUUCAGUUGAAAGUUUUCCGUUGCUGACCAACUAAAUUAUAUAGAGGUACUAGAGCUCGAUACCAUGGAAGAACUACCAUUAAUGUUGGAUAUGUCAAAGUUUUUUAUUUUGAUGGCUCUUUUGACCAUGCUACCUCACUUGGGCAUGUGGAGAUCAAAUUUCUGAAGCACACAUCCUCAUAACUAGCUGGCAUUAAAUUUGGGCGACCUUAAGGAAAAACUUGCACAACAUCUCAGUUCAAAUUGCAUAACAAUGUUUCGAAUAAUAAUAAUUGAGUUGCAACGAUAAAGAGUAUUUAACGAAGAAAGAGAAGGAAAUCGGU
This is a long non-coding RNA of Papaver somniferum (opium poppy), 806 nucleotides long. RefSeq lists it as uncharacterized. Lineage: Eukaryota; Viridiplantae; Streptophyta; Magnoliopsida; Ranunculales; Papaveraceae. The record is from RefSeq and is a predicted model, not a curated record. The transcript is spliced from 3 exons.